Non-coding RNA from Benincasa hispida (wax gourd), 673 nucleotides. NCBI's taxonomy places the organism in Eukaryota, Viridiplantae, Streptophyta, Magnoliopsida, Cucurbitales, Cucurbitaceae. The record is from RefSeq and is a predicted model, not a curated record.
UCACACAUUGUAGGAUGUUGGAUUUAAGUUAUUGUUGUUCCAUUGUUGAAGAAAAUGGCAAAGCUUUUGGUUGAAGUUGUCUUUAAUAAUUUUUGAAUUUAUAAAUAAAGAAAACAAAAGAAAGGGAAUAAAGAAAAAGGAAAGAAAAGAAAAGGAAAAGGAAAAGGAAAAGGAAAAGGAAAAAGGAAAAAAAAAAAGAAAAUGAAAGAAAUUGGAAACCCAUUCGGUGCUUAGGGUUUAAAGUGAGAACCCACUCAUUUCAGCCCAUUUCUCCAUCAUUUCCCAUUAUAUUUUCAGAGAAUUUCGAGAGAGAGAGAGUGAAGGAAGAGGAAGAAGAAGUUGCUGCAGGUUGGAGGUUGAAGAAGGGAGGAAAAGCUCAUGGAAGUGCAACCAUGGAAAAAUUUGGGUUCAACCUAUCUAUCUCUGGUUUUUAAGUCGAUUUGAGCUACACAAGAAGAACUAAGAGGAAAACAGAGCACAAAAUUUUCGUGCAAAUCAGAAGGAUCUCUGCUUUUCUCUAGUUUUUCGAACAUUCUGGAGUGUACAGGUUGGAUUAGAAGCUCAAUUGAGAGAAAUGUAGAGGGUAGCAGAGAAGCACGAAUCUGUAUUCGCUAUGUUUGAGGGAUUUCUGGACAAAUCCGUUGGGAAUAUCAUUUUUAUUCCUUCAGGUAAG